This 274-nucleotide ribosomal RNA is filed under the name uncultured bacterium. RNAcentral's name for it is "partial 16S ribosomal RNA". It matches the Rfam family "Bacterial small subunit ribosomal RNA", at positions 523 to 796 of the family's 1533-position model. The record is from RNAcentral.
AUACGGAGGUUGCAAGCGUUACUCGGAAUCACUGGGCGUAAAGGACGCGUAGGCGGAUUGGAAAGUCAGAUGUGAAAUCCUACAGCUUAACUGUAGAACUGCAUUUGAAACCUCUAAUCUAGAGUAUGGGAGGGGGAGAUGGAAUUAGUGGUGUAGGGGUAAAAUCCGUAGAUAUCACUAGGAAUACCGAAAGCGAAGGCGAUCUCCUGGAACAUAACUGACGCUAAGGCGUGAAAGCGUGGGGAGCAAACGGGAUUAGAAACCCUAGUAGUCC